GGCAGUGUAGCAUAGUGGUUAAGGAGCAAGACUUGCAACUGAAAGGUUGCUGGUUCAAUUCCAUAAGGCCACUGCUG
This is a non-coding RNA of Megalops atlanticus (tarpon), 77 nucleotides long. The record is from the annotation of a GenBank genome assembly. Lineage: Eukaryota; Metazoa; Chordata; Actinopteri; Elopiformes; Megalopidae.